GUAGGUGGCGAGCGUUAUCCGGAUUUAUUGGGCGUAAAGCGCGUGCAGGCGGUUCUGUAAGUCGGACGUGAAAGCUCCUGGCUUAACUGGGAGAGGUCGUUCGAUACUGCAGGACUUGAGGUCGGGAGAGGGACGUGGAAUUCCCGGUGUAGUGGUGGAAUGCGUAGAGAUCGGGAGGAACACCAGUGGCGAAGGCGGCGUCCUGGCCCGCACCUGACGCUAAGACGCGAAAGCGUGGGUAGCGAACGGGACUAGAUACCCCGGGUAGUCCACGCCGUAAGCGGUGGAUACUAGGUGUUGGUGGCUAUCGUCAUCAGUGCCGUAGCUAACGCGUUAAGUAUCCCGCCUGGGAACUACGGCCGCAAGGCUA
Molecule: ribosomal RNA, 370 nt
Filed under: uncultured organism
Description: partial 16S ribosomal RNA
Rfam family: Bacterial small subunit ribosomal RNA
Source: RNAcentral